UGAGGAAAGUCUCGGAGUUCCAGAGAUAACUAGCGAAGAGGCGAUUUGAUAGCGAUUUGGAGGAUGAAUACAAGGUCGAUGAUGAGGAGGAGAAAAUUGACUGUUUGUGCAGACAGAGAACCGUAUCUACGUCGUUUGGGUAGAACUGGUCGGAAAGGCCAGGAAGGAAUAGGGAGUCUGAUGUCGGCACCAUGGGAAGACUUCUUUUUUAGUAGCAUCAAGGACUCGCCAAUCACCAAGGCUCCAUUGCCAACAGUAGAAAACAAGCAUCUGAAUCACUUCCUUUACUACCAUAUUUGUUGCUUUAUUGGCUUAAAAUACCUAAACCAUUACAUACUCACUCUGUUGCAAUUAUGCUGAAGUAUAUAUGCCCGAUGUUUUAUAUAGCUGUAUUUUGUUGUUUGAUAAUGUGUUUUUGCCAUCUUAUGCACCUUUUUGUUUCUUUUCCCUGUAAUUUUUCACUUCUGUUGUUUGACUUGAAGCUGAUUCAGCAAUUUUUAGCUCUUCACUGUCGAAUGAUUUAGUCAAUUGUAUUUAGUCAUUUUGAAGAGUGAAUUUGAGGGUACCAUCAACAGCCAGCUUUUGUCUUGGGCUUUUGCAAAGAGCUUGGAUAGAUGCUGCCAGCUGUUGUUGUUGGCUAGAAAUAGGGGGUCCACUUUGGGUACAGAGUGCUGAUGACAGUCCUUGCAUUGGGAUAGAAGACUGGUGAAACUAGAAUCUUGAGCCUAGAUAUCACCAAUGUAAUGCAUUAUUACCUGUUACUUGGAUACACUAUUUCAUCUUUUGCCUUGUUAGUUGAAUGUUCCUUUCAGUAGUUCCUUCAUUCUGAUGUGACUUGUAUCAAACUUGUUGCUUUGUUGAUACAGGUGGAGUGGGCAGUGGUGCGUCCAGAGAUGAAGAACUAAGAAUCGGCAUAUCAACCAUGGCUUGAAUUCUGUAGUUCCAGUAAAAAUAUUGGUUCAGAAUCAGCUUGUAACUCUUGCUAAUGUGUUUAGCCCAAAGUAUAGUCAACCCCUGGUUUACAAGCAAGAUCUGUUUAUUCUCGAGUUUUGAUAAAUUGAUUUCUAGAUAUCUUCUAUCUUUAGAAGAUACAUGGCUACUACCCUAUAAACAAAUGAAGUUCAUAUUUUUCUACAACACUUAAUGAUUAUUUAAUUUAUUUGUUGCUUCCUUUACUACCAUAUUUGUUGCUUUAUUGGCUUUAUAUGUUUAAACCAUUACAUACUCACUCUAUUGCAAUUAUGCUGAAGUAUAUAUGCCCGAUGUUUUAUAUAGCUGUAUUUUGUUGUUUGAUAAUGUGUUUUUGCCAUCUUAUGCACCUUUUUGUUUCUUUUCCCUGUAAUUUUUCACUUCUGUUGUUUGACUUGAAGCUGAUUCAGCAAUUUUUAGCUCUUCACUGUCGAAUGAUUUAGUCAAUUGUAUUUAGUCAUUUUGAAGAGUCAAUUUGAGGGUACCAUCAACAGCCUGCUUUUGUCUUGGGCUUUUGCAAAGAGCUUGGAUAGAUGCUGCCAGCUGUUGUUGAUGGCUAGAAGUAGAGGGUCCACUUUGGGUACAGAGUGCUGACGACAGUCCUUGCAUCGGCAUAGAAGACUGGUGAACUAGAAUCUUGGGCCUAGAUAUCACCAUUGUGGAGUGGGCAGUGGUGCGUCCAGAGAUGAAGAACUAAGAAUCAGCAUAUCAACCAUGGCUUGAAUUCUGUAGUUCCAGUAAAAAUAUUGGUUCAGAAUCAGCUUGUAACUCUUGCUAAUGUGUUUAGCCCAGGCAUAAUACUCAGCCCCUGGUUUACAAGCAAGGAAAAUACAUUUGGAAUGCAAAAUCUUAUAGCUUGUUGGAUCUUGCAUUGGCUCUUCUUCUGGACCGAGAAAGAUCGUGGCGAGGGCUUGAUGAGUACAUAGCGGAUGGCACUAGAUACUGCAUCACGGUAUCUAAAAUUACUCGACCGCAAUUAGCU
Molecule: long non-coding RNA, 1951 nt
Organism: Musa acuminata AAA Group (dessert banana)
Lineage: Eukaryota; Viridiplantae; Streptophyta; Magnoliopsida; Zingiberales; Musaceae
Exons: 3
Source: RefSeq, a predicted model, not a curated record